AUGUCGUUCCAGCAUGAGCAGGCAGAAUGGAACCUCACGCCAUCUACUUAUGCCUUCUUAAAACCUUGAGGUCCAGCAGCCAGAUCCGGGCGCCAAACAUGGUUCAGACAGGAUGGAUGCUCUGGCACAGGGUCUGACAAAUGUAGGUUUCAUCUCAGAGCCGCAGGCGUCCUUUGCAGUGUGGAGCCACCACUGCUGCCUAAGUGCUUUUUCUUGAUAACAUCGUUGGCAGCUUAAUUGGUAUUUCUUGCUCGUAAUAACGUGCCCGUGGUGUGAACCGCCCAGUGUUUUCCUCCGGCCUCUUGGCCCCGACACUGGCGGUUCCUUGUGCUUCUCUUUCCAGGCCUGGCUCUGGCGCACCGACAUACCUGCGUGGCCCUUUGGUGCUUCUCUACCUGGCGGCGGACUUGGGAACGGAGACAGCAACUGUGGGGACACCAGGAGCGCCUGGCGCAGUUGGCAGGAAGGGUGGCCGCACGGAGGGGGCUCGCCCGCUGGAAGCAGUAUGUGGCGUUGCGCGCAGACUCGAGGAUGCAGGAUGAGCUGGCUGAGCGCCACUACGGGCGCCGGCUCUUGCGCCGUGGGCUGACAGCCUUGCGGAGGAAUGUUGUGGAGGCGUCCGUCAAACAGAUAAGGAGGAACCUGGCCCAUCAGCAGCACCGGAUUGCACUCUUGAAAAGGUUCUGGGGUGGCUGGAAAUCUCUCUUGGAGCAGAAGGAGGAAGAUCAGCUCCACUCCCUGACGCUGGCAGCAAACGCCCACUACAGGUGCUGCAGGGGGGCUGUUUGCUGGGGGAGGAGGGGUAGCAGCCCUAGAGCCCCCCCGGGGGGUGUCCCUUUGGCGCAUAGGUGUUUGAAACUGUUCAGUGGUGACUCUGGGCAAUGUAAAACUGUGAACAAGAGAAACAUAUUACAAAAAAAAAACACUGGUAAUCCAACAAACUCGGUGAAAGUUAAGAUUGAAUUUAAAAUGAAAAUGAAAAUCAGGCCAUGGCUAUAGGUGUUAAAUAUAGACUCUCAGCGGACUACUGAGAUGGCUGAGUUUGAAAAGCCUGCUGAAAUAGAGAAGUUUUCAGAGGUUUCUUAAAAGUUUCCAGAGAAGGGACCCAGCAGACUUUGGGCAGCAGGUGCGUUUCCUGAGCAGGGGAGCCACCACCGAGAAGGCCUGGAUUUUUCCUUUCCUCCUUCCUGGUUUCUCCCCGGAUCGGCAUCCUCAGCUGCCUAGCCAAGGACAUACAGGCAGGAGAGCCAGUCCCUCUUGGAAGGAGACGUUCUCCCUAGUACUGGGGUCCCAAUCCAUUGAGGUCUUCAGCAUGCCUGGCACCUUCCUUUGUGCCUUGGAAGUGGUGGGUCCGUCUCUCUUCCCCUCCCCUCGACAGACUUGGCCCCAGUGCUGAAGAGAACUGUCCGUGGGUCUGGAGCUCCAGGGAGUUGACCCAGCAGGUGAGAGGGCCCCCCCGAUAGCCUGACCUGCCCCCUUUACCUUUCAGCUCAGUGCUGCUGCGCCGAUGCCUCCGGACCUGGUGCCACCACGCCAGCAGGAGACAACACCAGACGGUAAGAGGGUAGCCAAGCCCAGCAGUUCCUCUCUCUUUCUACACUCGGCCUCUUGCUCCCAAAUAUUUCCUUUUUGCACCUGCUGCUCUGCCUUCUACCUUCCUGAGUUCUAGCCCUUCCCUUGCUGUGCUUCCUCUCCGUUUUGUUUUGUUUAUAUAUAUAAAAAAAACAGAAGCCAGGAGGCAUGUGACGUAGCUUUUCCCAUCCAGGUGGACGUCAUGGGCCACCAGCUGAAGACCAAGCCCUUCGCGCCUUCAAAUUGAGUUUUCCAAAGUUUUCUUGACUGUUUCUUAAGGCUUAAAAACAGUGUGGCUUCCUCUCUUUUUAUUUAAAGGGCAGGCUGUGUACCUAUAAGUUGCCUUUCUUCAGGUGGUCAGCUGUGAAUUCCCACAUAGUUGGUUUCGGCGCCUGUUCUCUGGGCUGGUUUUAGAGGCUCUUGAGCAUUUAAUCCAGGCAGCCUUUCAGUUUUCUUGACUGUUUCUGAAAGGCUUAAAAACAGUGUGGCUUUCUCUCUUUUUUUAAAAAGGGCAGGCUGUGUACCCACAUAGUUGGUUUUGGCAGAGGCUCUUGAGCAUUUAAUCCAGGCAGCCUUUCUGAAGAUUAGCCCGUGAGACAGAUGAGAGAUUUAACAGGGUUCUCUGCAUUUGGAUAAUUAAUAAAGAGAUGUCAUGUAGCA
Molecule: long non-coding RNA, 2232 nt
Organism: Pogona vitticeps (central bearded dragon)
Lineage: Eukaryota; Metazoa; Chordata; Lepidosauria; Squamata; Agamidae
Source: Ensembl